Molecule: ribosomal RNA, 438 nt
Filed under: Triticum aestivum (bread wheat)
Lineage: Eukaryota; Viridiplantae; Streptophyta; Magnoliopsida; Poales; Poaceae
Description: partial small subunit ribosomal RNA
Source: RNAcentral
UUGAAGUGCGCCUUCAUGGUCUCGUCAGGCAAAUUCCUAGGGUUUGUCAUUCGACAUCGGGGAAUAGAAAUCGACCCGAGUAAAAUCAAGGCCAUACUCGAAAUGCCUCCUCCUCAAAACCUUAAGGAGCUGCGUUCGCUUCAAGGGCGCCUGGCAUACAUCAGGCGAUUCAUAGCCAAUUUUGCAGGAAGAAUCCAACCUUUUACAAGAAAAACCAAAAAAGACAUUCCAUUCUUUUGGGAUGAAAACUGCCAACAAGCCCUAGAUGGCAUCAAAAGCUAUCUCCUCAAUCCGCCAGUCCUGGCUGCGCCGAUACCAGGGAAGGAGCUUAUACUCUACACCACGGCCUUGGAUGAAUCUCUUGGGGCUCUAUUGGAACAAGAAAAUGAAAACGGGAAAGAGAAUGCCCUCUAUUACCUCAGUCGUGUGCUCGUAGGA